RNAcentral lists this long non-coding RNA (276 nucleotides) under Phaseolus vulgaris (common bean). Its description in RNAcentral is "long non-coding RNA (PVUL_LNC000140)". The record is from RNAcentral. Lineage: Eukaryota; Viridiplantae; Streptophyta; Magnoliopsida; Fabales; Fabaceae.
AGAGCCCACCCAGAGAAUGACAACCAUCAAAAAGUCUAAGCCCAUAUAGCCGAUGGCCUGCCCAAAUGAUGUUCAGCGGUCUCUACCCAACGGAACUCAGCUUAGAGGCUUUCUACCCGCACUACCUAGACCCACAGUUCACUCACCUGAAGCCGUCUUACCGUGGAGUCAACGGAGAAAACGGUUUCGUAUAAUGAAACUGUUCGUCCAUAUGAAAUUCUUCCAAUUUGGUUGGCGGAAGCGAAUCCACAAAUGCAUGCAGAGAACUCUGCAAAU